Molecule: unclassified non-coding RNA, 201 nt
Filed under: Hevea brasiliensis (rubber tree)
Lineage: Eukaryota; Viridiplantae; Streptophyta; Magnoliopsida; Malpighiales; Euphorbiaceae
Source: RNAcentral
GCCAAUGCGCCCGAGUUCACCGCAGAAUCAAUUAAAGCAGCAGUUUUGAGAAAAAUUUCUAAUAAGGGUGCCGCAAAAUUGUCCAGACAAUACUUCAAGUCAAGCAAAAGAUCAUUGGUUUUAUAUUGAUACCGAAACUUUUUAAAUAUAGAGUUUGCAGUGCCAAGAAUACCGUUAACAGAUGCAUAAUCCGAAGCCUGA